Long non-coding RNA from Megalobrama amblycephala (Wuchang bream), 1284 nucleotides. RefSeq lists it as uncharacterized. Lineage: Eukaryota; Metazoa; Chordata; Actinopteri; Cypriniformes; Xenocyprididae. The transcript has 3 exons. The record is from RefSeq and is a predicted model, not a curated record.
UGGGCACCUCAUACAUUCGCUCAUAUUUUUAUUGAGGGAUUGUUGCCAAGAAAUCCCAAACAAAACUUUAUUCAGAGACUUGUUUUUCAGAGUUAGUUGGAGUAACUUGGGAUUUCACAUUCAUUUUGUAUCUAGUAUCUGAUAGUAUCUGGAUUUUUUUCAGCCAUACAUAUUAAAUCAGUACAGAAUCUCACAGAUUCCAAGUUUUCUUUUUUUUUUUCCUGCUGAUUUUGAGUUGUUUUCUCGAUAAAUAGUUUUCUUGAGAUUGGGUUCAUUCCACAGCUUGAAAUGAAGUGCGGUGGGGAUAAACGAUCUGUGUCAGACCUGCUGGGGUCCAUAUGGUCCAUCACCAUGGUUCUCACACUACAUCACACCCAUGAGAUAGAUGAACACAGGCUGUUUACCAGUCAUCCUUCAGAAAAAAUGAUGAGGGCCAGAAGAACAGAAAGUGAGACACAGUUGUCUUGGGUUUUGGACUUGGCUUCCCUCCAGCUGUGUGUCCUUCCCCUGCCAUCCUUACUGGAGCUCAGGCUGCACUGGCAGGCUGGGGAAUGCUUUGAAUGUUAAUGAAAUAUGUCAUCGUGAGUUGUCUCAGUAAUUAAUUGUUCACAUCACAUAUUUGAAAGGCCACCAGGAAGCAGUCCCAGUAGCACUGCGGCGUGUUGCCUGUCUCAGAAUAGAGCUCCACUUUGAGGCUGGAAUCAGAGUGCAACAACUGAAGUUGUAUUAUCAGAUGCCAUUGCUUUGUGAACGUGAUAAAAAUACAGGCGAUAUUUCAAUAAACCUAGUAAAUGUCAGUACACUAUGAGCGCCACUAAAUUUGCGCCUCCAUUUUAUGUAAUAUAACCAUCACAUUCAGUACUUAGGUAUGUUUUAUAUAAAUACUACAUAUUUUGAAAUAAAAAGUUGGUAACUUUAUUUUAGGAUCUUUUAACUAGUUGCUUAUUAGCAUGCAUAUUAGUAGAAUAUUUAUUAAGCACAUAUUAAUGCAUGACCUUAUUUAACAUUCUUAAUCCUACCCAAUACCUAAACUAAUAAGCAGUAAAUUAGGUGUUUAUUGAGGGAAAAGUCGUAGUUAAUAGUUUAUAUGUGUUCCCUAUACUAAAGUGUUACCAAAAAGUUUUGCCAGCCGUACAAUUGGGCAUAAUUAAGCAAUUUCACAUGCUGUUUCACAUUCAAACCAUGCUGUAUUUCCAAAUAUUUUUGAAUGUAUCUGUUUUUUGCACCAUCAAUGCAAAUAAUUUCAAAGGAAGCCAUGCAGUGGUGAUGUGUUUUGUUCCUGAA